Molecule: long non-coding RNA, 862 nt
Organism: Alligator mississippiensis (American alligator)
Lineage: Eukaryota; Metazoa; Chordata; Crocodylia; Alligatoridae
Exons: 3
Source: RefSeq, a predicted model, not a curated record
CCACCUGCCUAAGGGGCCUCAGCUGGCUUAGGCAAUCUUCCUAGAAUGAAGCAAAACUCACUGAGUGGCUGGAAAUAAAGUGGCAGGAAGAAAAAUUGAGGGGUGGAGGAUAUGGAGAGGUGAUGGUUGUGGGGAGAGUGAGGAUUCUUCCAAGAAGACUUUGAGAAACAUAUCCAAGCUGCAGUAGAGUCUGUUGAUCCUGGGCCAGCCUCAGAAGCCGUUUCGGAUACACAUAUAACACAAUCAUUGAAGACAAUCAUCCUCAAUUGAGGGAUUCCUGAAGAGAGUGGUGAGAGUGCCAGUCUUUGAUUUGUAUUCAACCUCCCCUCCAUCAUCAUCUAAGGCUUCUGUGUAACCUUAAGCAAACCAGUGAUACUUGAUGAUAGGUCUUCAGUCCUGUGCAUCUUUAAUACAACUUGUGAAGUUAAAUCAUAAUCAAGAGACCAUGUAGCCGAGCAGAAAUGCCUAUGCUGGAGAGAGAGGCCACAUUCUCAGUACCUUGGAGUUAAUCCAGAAUGGCUGACAUAAGUAUGUGGCUUUGUGUUAAUUUUAAUUUCUCCAAAAUCUUGAGAAGUCCUUUUGUGUAAUAAUCUUGCAUAAAUAUAAAGUUAUAUCAUUUUGCUCUGUUAAGACCUUUUUUGGAUGAUUGUUCAGGUAAAGCAGGUUAUAUUAAAACAUGUUAAGAAAUUGACUCUUCAUAAAGGUAGAGUGCCCCUGCUUCCAUAAUUUUGGAUGAGUUUAUGUAAACAGGCAACUUGUAUGGCAGCAUUGUACUGUGCAAAUUCAAAAUGUCUUAUCAUUCACUGAGAAGUACAAUCUGUGCUACACAAAACUAUUUGUACCCUUUAAAAAUAAACUAACA